AGAGGCUGAAUCAAUUCAAAUCUAGACAUUCUGGGACCUGGACCUGACUUCUUAACUAGAGCUUUUGACAUCUGCCCUUCUGAUAUCCAACUAAUGACUGGGACAUCACACAACUCAUUGAUCACCUCCUGGGCUGACUUUGACAUUGGGCAUCUGCAUCAUUUUUACUCGCUUGUUCAAGGUUUUCAUUUCAUUAUGCCCUAUCCCUGAGAGUGGACAAGAGGUCAGAGAAAUCAAUGAGUCCUAAGGGGUCGUCUAAGGUUGAGAGAUGCUGUCAGGAAGACAAGGAGUGGGUCAACAAGGGCAGGGGGGCAGAGAGUGAGAUAUUAACUGGCAAUGUGGAAUGAGUGCUUUUCUAAAAGGACUAAGAAACAUUUUCUCUAAGUGUUUUAUACUGUGAACUAGGUUAAGUCAGACAUGGGCUCUUAAAUUAGGGACAGAAGUUUGGUUUACUUCGUGUUCAGGGAUUUGAAAGAUUAUUUUCUCUGCUUUUUUCAAGUUGAUUAUGAUAAUUAAAAAAAAAAGGCAAGUUAGGAUACGGGGCUUCUCAGGCCAUGAUAAUACAAAGAAAUAGGCUUUUCUAUACAGUUGAUUUGAUUUCCUUCCCUCCUUCUCUUCCACUCUGCCACAUUAUCUCUUUUGAAACUGGAUUAUCAGAGCUUGUUUUCAGGUUCAAUCCCAUUAACUCCAAUUUUCUUCUUUUAGUUGUAGGUGCCAGGCAGUCUCUGAGGAGUUGUUGAUAGAUGAAGAAAGAGUCCUGUUCACAACCAAGAAAGCAAGGACUUCUGGGAAUUUGGGAAAUAAUGAAAUUUGGUUCCGUAUGAUGUUCAUAGACAAAUGCAAUGGUAACUAAGGAUGUGUCACUGCUUUAUAUUAAAAUGCAUCAUUUCUUUGCUUUUAACCGAGGGGUGUUUCUUGUAGGAUAUGCUAAUUCCAAGACAGAUAAUCAUAAUAAAAUUUUGUCAAAUGCCACAGCUGAGAGAGUUCCUAUAAAACAAAUGAAGGUUCUCACUAGCCCAUUGUCAUUCAGGCAUGUUCUCUAAGUCCUGCUCCUCAACCUCAGUUUUGGUGGAUGACUUGGGCUGAACACAUCCACGUGCCUGUUGAAUAGUGACAUAGCUUCUUCGGGGUUUCAGUUUCUUUAUCUACAAAAUAAGGAUAUUAGUAGUGCUCUUUCAGAGGGUAGUUUUGAAGAGAAAAUGAGAUAAUCUAUGUCAAGUAAUGACAUACAGGUAAUACUCCCCUGAUAAAUGAUAGGUAUUAUUACUACUAUUGUCAGUGAACAUAAGUGAGGCCAUCUUGUUACACUAAAUGACCCCAGCCCCUCCCCUCUGUGUGACUACUCGCUGCUCUGCACAUAUAAAAAAUUCACAUGCUCUCCUGAUUUAUGGUCUCCGCUUACAUAUGUACUCCCUUAUAGCUUGAUAAUUUAAAACUUUCUUCUAUGAAUUUCUCUCUAG
RNAcentral lists this long non-coding RNA (1460 nucleotides) under Equus asinus (donkey). Its description in RNAcentral is "lncRNA (ENSEASG00005038557.1)". Lineage: Eukaryota; Metazoa; Chordata; Mammalia; Perissodactyla; Equidae. The record is from RNAcentral.